Long non-coding RNA from Mauremys reevesii (Reeves's turtle), 589 nucleotides. RefSeq lists it as uncharacterized. NCBI's taxonomy places the organism in Eukaryota, Metazoa, Chordata, Testudines, Geoemydidae. The record is from RefSeq and is a predicted model, not a curated record. The transcript has 4 exons.
GGGAGCUGCAGAGUCCUGCCGCCUCCCACAGCAGCAGGGAGCUGUGAGGUAUCCCUACCACCUGAGGCAGCAGCAUAAGAUUCCCACUCGAGUUCCUCAACAAAGAACUGAACGCAGUAUGACUCACCUGGGCAUAUCAGCCAUAUAUCCUAGGAAAUGUUCCAACUCACCUCUCCUAUUACAUCGAUUAGCAGCUUUAAGGCCCGAGGAUCAUGGACAAGUGAAUCCGUGUAAAAUGAACCAAGCUCAGAUUUGAAAAGGAAGAAAAAAAGAAAGGAAAAAAGGGGGAAACAAGAAAGAAAGAAACACUGAAUAAACAACUCACCUUCAGCUCUUCUGAUGUUCUCUUUGCCAAACAAGUUGCCAGACAAUGCUGAAGAGGCUACACCCUUUCCUUUUCCUCACACCAUCCAUAAGCAUUUUGCUCUUAUUAGCUCAUCAUAAAUGCAUAAUUAAGAUGGGCUAUUAAAAAGUCUUGCCUAGAAUAAUGCCAGGUAAUGAAUGAAGAUUAAGCAUUGUAGCUCUAUACUCACCCACAAGCCAGGGAAGCCAGUACUUGGACAUCCUUCCAUUUGUCUGCAUGUCCCAG